Molecule: ribosomal RNA, 508 nt
Filed under: Neogyptis hinehina
Lineage: Eukaryota; Metazoa; Annelida; Polychaeta; Phyllodocida; Hesionidae
Description: partial 16S ribosomal RNA
Rfam family: Bacterial large subunit ribosomal RNA
Source: RNAcentral
UGCCUUUAGCUAGAAUAUUAAAGGUAUGUCCUGCCCGGUGAAUUGAGGUUUUAACGGCCGCGGUAUAUUGACCGUGCGAAGGUAGCAUAAUCAUUUGCCUUUUAAUUGGAGGCUGGUAUGAAUGGAUUAACGAGGGACCAAUUGUCUCAUUUUUAAGAAUAGAAAUUAGUAUUUAGGUGAAGAAACCUAAAUAUAAUUAAAAGACAAGAAGACCCUAUCGAGUUUGAUUUUAGUACUAUGCCUUAAAAAUGUUAUAUAUUUUAAGGAAAGGUUUAUAAAUUUGGUUGGGGCGACUGGAGAAUUAUUAAAGCUUCUCUAAUAAUAAGAGUAUAAAUCGUUUGGAUGAUCCAUUAAUAUGAUUAGAAGAAAAAUACUACCGUAGGGAUAACAGGCUAAUUUCUCUAGAGAGUUCACAUUGACAGAGAAGGUUGGCACCUCGAUGUUGGCUUAGAAUAUCCUUUAUAUGCAGCAGUAUAAUAGGGUUGGUUUGUUCAACCAUAAAAAUUCU